This 368-nucleotide long non-coding RNA is filed under the name Homo sapiens (human). RNAcentral's name for it is "HSALNT0407384". Lineage: Eukaryota; Metazoa; Chordata; Mammalia; Primates; Hominidae. The record is from RNAcentral.
UAUAAAUCUAGUCCCUCUUACUCUAUCCUGCCCAGAAGUGGAAAUAUGAUCCUUCCAUUAUAAAAUAAAGAAUGGUCCUAAGAUUUGAGAACUCCAAAAGGACUUAGUGUUACGGAAUAAAGGUGAACAACCAUUUGGGACUGUUUAUCUACUUGCUAUCUCUCUUUUGAGAGAGAAUAAUGUCUCAAGAGCUCCAUUCUCUGAUGCCUGCAGUAUGUUAUGAAUCAGUAGAGAAUCUUUCUGUCUGUGCUUGGAUCUUGGGCUGGAAGUGUCAGGAAUUAUUGCUUCCCGGGAGCGUGCCUUAACCAAUGAUGCUUAGGAGUUGGUAUACAAAUGUUUCAACUCCUUCACCGCUCAAGUGGAAUGAU